This 226-nucleotide ribosomal RNA is filed under the name uncultured bacterium. RNAcentral's name for it is "partial 16S ribosomal RNA". It matches the Rfam family "Bacterial small subunit ribosomal RNA", at positions 28 to 253 of the family's 1533-position model. The record is from RNAcentral.
GACGAACGCUGGCGGCGUGCUUAACACAUGCAAGUCGAGCGGUAAGGCCCUUUCGGGGGUACGACGAGCGGCGAACGGGUGAGUAACACGUGGGUGACCUGCCCUCAGCUCUGGGAUAAGCCUGGGAAACCGGGUCUAAUACCGGAUAUGACUCCAUGACGCAUGUUGUGGGGUGGAAAGCCUUGUGCGGCUGAGGAUCGGGCCCGCGGCCUAUCAGCUUGUUGGU